GUGAGGAAUAUUGCGCAAUGGAGGCAACUCUGACGCAGCCAUGCCGCGUGCAGGAAGAAGGCGCUACGCGUUGUAAACUGCUUUUAACCGGGAAGAAACCCCAGGACGUGUCCUGGGUUGACGGUACCGGAGGAAUAAGCACCGGCUAACUUCGUGCCAGCAGCCGCGGUAAUACGAAGGGUGCAAGCGUUAUCCGGAUUCAUUGGGUUUAAAGGGUGCGUAGGCGGAGCGUUAAGUCAGUGGUGAAAUCCUGCAGCUUAACUGUAGACUUGCCAUUGAUACUGGCGCUCUUGAAUGCGCAUGAAGGGGGCGGAAUGUGCCGUGUAGCGGUGAAAUGCUUAGAUAUGGCACAGAACACCAAUUGCGAAGGCAGCUCACUAAGGCGAUACUGACGCUGAGGCACGAAAGCGUGGGGAUCGAACAGGAUUAGAAACCCGAGUAGUCC
RNAcentral lists this ribosomal RNA (445 nucleotides) under uncultured bacterium. RNAcentral describes it as "partial 16S ribosomal RNA". It matches the Rfam family "Bacterial small subunit ribosomal RNA", at positions 354 to 796 of the family's 1533-position model. The record is from RNAcentral.